Molecule: long non-coding RNA, 4063 nt
Organism: Oreochromis niloticus (Nile tilapia)
Lineage: Eukaryota; Metazoa; Chordata; Actinopteri; Cichliformes; Cichlidae
Source: Ensembl
GGUCUCGGACAGUGGCUACAAAAGGACAUGGCAGCAAGUGAAAGUCAAACACAAGAACAUUGUGCAAACAGGUGCAAACACUUUGUCUUAGUUUUGAUCUCACUGAGUCAGCAGUUGCUUUGUAAAAGAGGUUUUUCUUUGUGGUUUUCUGCAAAUCAUUAAGUCUAAAUGAAUGAGUUUAUGAUCUUUGAGCUUAUGAACUCUCCGCAUCAUUAAAAUGCUUUAUGCACAUACAUGCACCAGCAUGACGGAGCUGUAUAACAUUCAAUGUUUCUCUUCCUGCACUGGCUCAGAGUCAGUGAAGUCCAGGUGAGUUACGUACCUGUCAAAUCUGUCCCUGUGCAGCAAAAAGGAAAAGGGUUGCAAUGAUGAGAAACGAGGGCGGCUCGGCGACCCCGUCUCUGAACUCUGGUGAGGACGACGUGCUGCAUCACAAAGACAACGGGCUGAGGGUGGAGGUUCUCCCCGGAGGCGCCUGUAUUGACCCGGCAGCUGUGUCUGACAGCUCUUUCAUGAGCGUGUCGGGCCACCCUGUCCUCCUGCUGCCCGUAACAAAGACUGAACCAGAGAGCCUCAGCAGCGACGAGACGGACGUUAGUGACACUCAGUUUGAGGGGGACGUUCAUGGAAGCAGCUUGCAGGAGGGCGCCAACGCAGCUGCCGCUACAGUUAGUGGCAGAAGCAGAGAGGUGAGGUGCAUUUGUCACAGCUGUCCUGUGCUAAUGAGAAGAACCAAAUGCAACAAGAGCGCAUGUUUUGUGUAAUCUGAUUCACAGAAGCAGACAGAAGACCUCAGGUCUCUCUACUGCUCCUACCUCAAGAAGGAGAUUGAGAACCGGGACCAAGAGAUGGCUUACAGAGCACUUAAAAUGAGGAAGCUGGAGAAAGAAAUCUUAUUACUUGACAAGCAGCUGAUGUGAUUGCAAGGAAAAAACAAAAGUACUUUUAUGCUUUUAUGUGGAAAAACAAGAAUUUGUUGAAAUGACAUGUUGCCUUUUACCCCGACACACUCACAGAGGUGUGUUUAGGUUGUAGUUGGCUGCAGCUGUAGGCAGCAUGAUCUCUUACAUCCUGGUCAAGGUUGUAAUGAUACGUGUCAGUACCCUUUUUUUUGCAAUAUUGCAUCACACAACUUAUGCAACGGUGCUGAUGCUGCCGUACACCGAUUCUCAGACCACGAGAGUGUUUAAAGUGCACUGAUGGAAGGCAGCAUGGCUGCUUGAGGGUUCACAGUAGCAUGUAAGUGGAGCCUGUGAGAGCACCAUGUUCACUGUACUCUACCACAGCAGGUUCAAAUGAACGAAUGCAACAACAGAUGGCUUUAAUGUCAGAAGAGAUUUUCAGGACCUUUUAUAUGUAUUUGUGACAACUGGUCCAAAUCUUAUGCUUAAAAUUUUAAAUUGAAAUUCUCAAGCUCCUUGGAAAACGUCCUGAGGUCCAGGAAAGAUGUGACAGAGAGUUCUUGCUGAUCCACUUUUAUUAACCUUUCUCUGAAGUCACAUUAAUGGAUGCCGUUGCUAAGCAGAUGCAGCUAACGCAGUCGGUGUUCCACCAGAACCCUCGCUCUGUUUUGAUGAUUUUAUUCCGGCCAAUCGUGGUUAUUUAUAGAGCCGCUUCAUUAAACCACAAAGUGUCUAACACAAGGAGACAUCUUCAUGACAUGACAGAUUUGUAACAGCUCAUCAUUUUCUUGUGGUUGCCUAAACGAAGCUCACAGCGCGGGAGAUUAUGUGAUGAUGUCAUUUCUCAGUCAUGUUGGUUUUUUAAUACAGGAUGCUCCAGCCUAUCCUCUGCUAAAGGAUAGGAAGCAUCUGAGCAUCUUUAGUGUCCAAGGAAUUUCACCAGCUCUUAUUAUGGCUGCCAUGCAGAUACAGCUGAGUCACUUUGCUCAGUUGGAAACCUUCUAAAGCAAAGCUGACUCUUUGUUUUCAACCACCAGCACGCAGAAAAUUGGUGCUAACUGUUCUGUCACUGCUGGAGGCCUCCUAAUAAACAGGCCGCUGGGUCACGUGAUUUUCAAACGCAUAAACUUUGCAGUUUAUAAGAAUCGUUGUCUGCUCUCUCUAUGAACAGCUCUAACUCUCUGACAUUUAUCUCCAAAGAGUGAUGUAAAAAUCAUGAGGUUAAGAGUAGAAAAAACUGAACUGUUAAUCAUUAUGUUGAUUAAAUAUGAAUUUUGGUAAAAGUAUGACUGCUUAGUGUAACUAUUACUACUUCAUAUCAUCGCUGUUGAGUCCGGUGUGCCGGAGAAUGGGUUGUGAAGACUUUUCUACAGAGACAGGUGUGUCCUUGGACUCCCACAGUGCACUGCGCGAUUGUUUGUGGGUCCAGAGUUCGCCGUUAGGCGUGGACAUUGUCCAGCAGCUGCACGUCCUCAGGAGGCUUGGACACUAAAUCGAAAUGUCUGGGCUGGACUGAGAGUGAAAACAGCGCUUCCUGGCCAAAAAUAUUAAACUCGAGUCCAUCCUUGUGAACAGCUGCAUGCUUGAACGUCUCCCUCUCUCACCUGAUAAGCAGCUCAGUCCAGUUGCAUCGCGCUUUCCCGCAGUCAUGGGCUGGCGAGCGGUGCGCGUUCACGGCCCACGAAUUGAAGCCAUCCUUAAUUGAGAGCAGAGAAAUGGAUGUGCGAUGGUUAUGCGGAGGAAAAUGUGAAGUCAAAUCGGCAGGAAGGUGUAGAGCGUUUCAAAAAUUUCCCGAUCCAGUCCCAGUGGAAGCACGUGUGAUGCUGGGAGGGGCUCGUUACAAAUGCGUUGUUAUUGCGCAGUUUUUAAAUCCACGCUCGACCUUUAACACCGUGCGUGAGAGUGGAGCUGCUGGAGGUCACCGUUCCUGCCAAAAGCCUCUGGCACUCCCUUUCCCAGGAUGAAGAGCACGCGGGCAUUUCACGUUUCCAGGCUUAUGAUCGGUUGUUGUCGAAGUCUUAUGGAGCAAUACACAGAAACGGUCCAUGUAAUGUGCCACCGGUUUGAUUAAAAAAUAAAAUACAAUAAAAACAAAACAAAACAUUAGUUUGGUGUGGAUGUGAUUUCUUCCUCUUUUUUUUAAAGUUCUGCCUAAAGCAUCCGUUUCCACGUAAAUUAAAGAGUAAUUUAAACAGUUGUAAAUGACUUAUUGGGCUAUAAUCUGUCGAAAAUACCUUAAACAUAACUCUCAUGAAUGAUAUCAAGUCAUUCCGAGGCAGAAAGAACAUCCCUGUCACAAAGUAGAAGCUGCAAUCAAGUUUUGGUAAAGGGACUAUUUAGGGACAUUUUAAAAAAUGUCUCUUUGAAGAGAGAUCUGGCCAACAUGGAAACAAAUAUCACAUUUCUAUAAAGAUGUUUUGUGUUUUGUCAAAAAAGGACUGGACUGACUGUAAACAUGGAGUAGGAACAACCAGGCUUGCAACACUGAUCAUUUCUUGAUUUUAGCCCUUCAUAAAUCCUGUUGAUUACCAAUAAAAAAAAAUGGCUUAAAAUAGACAAAUUUGACUGUGGCAGUAUUCAUACAUUCAAGGAUGUUUGAGAAGCACGUUGUCUGAAAACGCCAUGAUAGUUUUACAAAACAAACAAACAAAAUAAGAAGAAGGUGAAACUUUCCACAAAAAUUUCACGUAAAAGCACCGACACUGGGAUCAUAAUCAAUGUGACAAUAAGAGGCAAUCCGCCAACCAGCAGUGAGUGAUCCUCACACACUCUCGUCUUCACGUUUCUACUAAUGUGAAGCGUAAUGGCGCACUAGUUUGUCCCUGUGCGCUCGCCGUCCUUUCACAUGAUUUCCACUGCGUGUGACUGCCCUGCAUUCCUCAAGUGGCGAUAUUUUCUCUGUGUGGAAGUGAUUAAACCUUACGGCGAGCGAAACGUAAACAUGGCGUGAAAACACGCUCCGUGGCCGUGUUUUGAGUGAUCUGCGGCAAACAGCGGACCGUCUGCGGUGUGAGAGGCGAUUACUAAGAUCAGAAUUCGCGGAUAAAACAUCAGUUCCACUUUUUGUGUUUUUGUAGUUGUGUGUGUGUGUCUGUCUGUCAGAGUGCAUCUUCAGCCUGCUCGAGCGGAUGGAUACAAGAUAGCCGAUGACUGAGGGGCUU